GUUUACAUGGUAAACAGUCUGAAAUGCAUGACAACCAUGCCGAUUUGAGUUGAGCAAGACUCACGUUUAACUGAGUCACCUCUGUAAAACCUUAUAGUUAAGAUGGGGCAGCUAGCUAGCUGAGUGAAUUUCAAAACGGAUUGGUUUGUUGUUCUGACAACGACAGACUAUACCUGUUGUCCUCGGCGCAUGUGACAAAUAAACUGUGAUUUGACAGACAGGCGCGGCCCUGUUGCGACAGGGAGGUACUGUGGUCCACAGGUCCUGUAGCGAUGCUGUGGGACCUUGAUCAACAACAACAAAUACUAAUUUGGCAAUGCCCUAAAACAAUACAAGCUGUAACGUUAGUAGGUCAAUUAAUUCACACUAGCUAGCUAGUAUAAUAAUAACAAGAUUUAUUUAGUUCACCAGUUUUCUAUAUCAUUCUGAUUCAGUAGCUACGGACUAUUUCGACCAAAUAAAUGAUGAUUUGUCUGUAAAGCUCGUGGAUCACAGAUAAUAUAACUAGGUAACUCACUGUAUGUCUGUCUGAUAAUAUAACUAGGUAACUCACUGUCUGUCUGAUAAUAUAACUAGGUAACUCACUGUCUGUCUGUCUGAUAAUAUAACUAGGUAACUAACUGUCUGUCUGUCUGAUAAUAUAACUAGGUAAC
Long non-coding RNA from Oncorhynchus tshawytscha (Chinook salmon), 653 nucleotides. The record is from Ensembl. Lineage: Eukaryota; Metazoa; Chordata; Actinopteri; Salmoniformes; Salmonidae.